This 266-nucleotide long non-coding RNA is filed under the name Erythranthe guttata (spotted monkey flower). Its description in RNAcentral is "long non-coding RNA (EGUT_LNC000811)". The record is from RNAcentral. Lineage: Eukaryota; Viridiplantae; Streptophyta; Magnoliopsida; Lamiales; Phrymaceae.
UGUCUGUCAUUGGUGUAAGUUCUCAACUAAUUAUUCGAAAAAUAAAAAUAAAAAUACUUCCCCAAUUGGUCGGGAUGGCAAAUGGUAUACGAAUUCUUGUACUGUUGACCCUGUAUUUUUUUAUUUUUGUCGAGAAUUACCGUUUUAAUUUGUGAAAAAUACAUGACUUGUUAUUGCGACACAUAAUGCAUUUUUUGUUAUUAUAAACUUCAUGUAUUAAUUUAAUUUAUAUGUAUAAAUAAAUAUGUAUACAAUAUGUAUGGAGA